This 85-nucleotide small RNA is filed under the name Salmonella enterica. RNAcentral's name for it is "partial RtT sRNA". It matches the Rfam family "RtT RNA", at positions 1 to 89 of the family's 130-position model. Rfam says of the family: This family represents a bacterial cis-regulatory element known as RtT RNA. Lineage: Bacteria; Pseudomonadati; Pseudomonadota; Gammaproteobacteria; Enterobacterales; Enterobacteriaceae. The record is from RNAcentral. RNAcentral also lists the same sequence under 1 other name.
GUUUGCACUUGUCGGGGAAGGGUGAGAACCUUCGAUUAAGGUUCGACUCGAGCGAAAGAACGUUGCCAACGGUAACGGCCCGUAG